RNAcentral lists this ribosomal RNA (141 nucleotides) under uncultured eukaryote. RNAcentral's name for it is "partial 18S ribosomal RNA". It matches the Rfam family "Eukaryotic small subunit ribosomal RNA", at positions 1299 to 1458 of the family's 1831-position model. The record is from RNAcentral.
UGGUGGAGUGAUUUGUCUGGUUAAUUCCGUUGACGAACGAGACCUCGACCUUGUUAAAUAGUUCGACGAAUCUUUUGAUUCGAUCAGAUACUUCUUAGAGGGACUAUGGGUGUUAGCCCAUGGAAGUUCGAGGCAAUAACA